UACGUAGGGGGCGAGCGUUGUCCGGAUUUAUUGGGCGUAAAGAGCUCGUAGGCGGUUUGGUAAGUCGGAUGUGAAAUCUCCACGCUCAACGUGGAGGGGCCAUUCGAGACUGCUAUGACUAGAGUCCGGUAGAGGAGUGUGGAAUUCCCGGUGUAGCGGUGAAAUGCGCAGAGAUCGGGAGGAACACCCGUAGCGAAGGCGGCACUCUGGGCCGGUACUGACGCUGAGGAGCGAAAGCGUGGGGAGCAAACAGG
This 254-nucleotide ribosomal RNA is filed under the name uncultured bacterium. RNAcentral describes it as "partial 16S ribosomal RNA". It matches the Rfam family "Bacterial small subunit ribosomal RNA", at positions 524 to 776 of the family's 1533-position model. The record is from RNAcentral.